RNAcentral lists this ribosomal RNA (433 nucleotides) under uncultured bacterium. RNAcentral describes it as "partial 16S ribosomal RNA". It matches the Rfam family "Bacterial small subunit ribosomal RNA", at positions 29 to 507 of the family's 1533-position model. The record is from RNAcentral.
AACGAACGCUGGCGGCAUGCCUAACGCAUGCAAGUCGAACGAGACCUUCGGGUCUAGUGGCGCACGGGUGCGUAACGCGUGGGAACCUGCCCUUAGGUUCGGAAUAACUCCCCGAAAGGGGUGCUAAUACCGGAUAAUGUCUUCGGACCAAAGAUUUAUCGCCUUUGGAUGGGCCCGCGUUGGAUUAGCUAGUUGGUAGGGUAAAAGCCUACCAAGGCGACGAUCCAUAGCUGGUCUGAGAGGAUGAUCAGCCACACUGGGACUGAGACACGGCCCAGACUCCUACGGGAGGCAGCAGUGGGGAAUAUUGGACAAUGGACGAAAGCCUGAUCCAGCAAUGCCGCGUGAGUGAUGAAGGCCUUAGGGUUGUAAAGCUCUUUUACCCGGGAUGAUAAUGACAGUACCGGGAGAAUAAGCUCCGGCUAACUCCGUG